AAAAACAAUUAAACACAAAAGAAGAAUAUGAUUAGUUACAUUCUCUGGCUUAAUCCACUUUCCAGGUGUCAUCAUGACUUUAUUGGUGAUGAAAAUAUUCUGAAGUUAGAUUGUGGUGAAUAUACUUAGCAUGGAAAUGUACAUUUUAAAUGGAAACCUACCGGGAUCCAAUCAGGAGGCUCCUUCAUAUUCACUAAUCUUCUCCCAAAGGCCCCACA
Long non-coding RNA from Tupaia belangeri chinensis (Chinese tree shrew), 218 nucleotides. RefSeq lists it as uncharacterized. The transcript is spliced from 3 exons. NCBI's taxonomy places the organism in Eukaryota, Metazoa, Chordata, Mammalia, Scandentia, Tupaiidae. The record is from RefSeq and is a predicted model, not a curated record.